This 1065-nucleotide long non-coding RNA is filed under the name Heterocephalus glaber (naked mole-rat). RNAcentral's name for it is "lncRNA (ENSHGLG00100050468.1)". Lineage: Eukaryota; Metazoa; Chordata; Mammalia; Rodentia; Bathyergidae. The record is from RNAcentral.
GUACGGCGCAGGGAAACUGAAGCAUCUACUCGCCGGGGCCUCAGCCUCCCGCGGCUCGCGUGUUCCAGGCCUUGGUCGCUCCGGGCUGACCGUCCCUGAGCGGUGUCAGAGGCGCCUUUGCCUCCCGAGGUCACCCUGUCUGGUCGGAGACCACACGCCCCGUGGUCUCUCACGCCCGCUUCCCGGCCUCGGAGCUGUGGCAUUCUAAGCCCGGAAUUUACUUGUCGCUUGUCGACACGGGGUCUGUGUUGUGUUGUGUCCUAGAUCAGUUGACUGAUUUUCACCAAAAGCCUUCCAAAGCCAGGUCUAAAACUUCCUUUUUGCACAAUCUGGCCGAGGUUUCGGUUGAAGACUCUCCCGAGGCCGUAGGGUACAGCGUCCAAACUGCCCUCUCUUGCACUGAAGCCCCUUCCUCUUCUUUCCCCUGCUUAGACCUUGCUGUUGAGCCCAAUGGAAACUACCCUGUGGCGGCGCUGCCGGUUCUGCAACAGCCAGCGCCCCCGCUCUCCCCGCCCCACGGACCGGAUGUCCCGGUGUCCCGGGAGUUGUCCUGUCAGGAACACCUUAGACCCCAGUGUCAUUGAGGGAUGCUGCGCUGGAACUGGAGAUUGCUGAAGGAAGGCCCUGGAAUAGAGGCACUGACCCUGUCAGGAUGAUGAAUGGGGUUCCUGCUCUGAAGGGAUCUCCUCAUGUUGGUUGUGGUGUUGAUUGUGGACACUGGCAUAGCAGAGUGAAGAGUGUCAUUGUCACACGACGCAUUCCAGACCUUAGUGCAGUGGCCUCAGCACAACACAGAGCACCUUUUUACUCUGCAUGAGCAAGCGGAGGGGAAGGCCUGGACUCUGAGGACUUGGGGUCCAGAGGUGGAGACCUUCCAGCUGGUUCUACCCCAUCCCAGCAGAGCCACAGAGCAUCAUAGACGGGAAGACCAGUCUUCCUUCAACUGGCCACCUCCAGUCUUGCCUACUCCUGGUGUAACUUGUAGACCCAAGAGAUCCUGGUGAAGUUUUCUAUACCCUGCACAACCUCAAUAAAUUGUCCACCUCAAUAAAUUUUGAAACAUGC